CACACUGUAAACGAUGAAUGCCAGGUGUAGGGGGUAUCGACCCCCCCUGUGCCGCAGCAAACGCAGUAAGCAUUCCGCCUGGGGAGUACGGUCGCAAGAUUAAAACUCAAAGGAAUUGACGGGGGCCCGCACAAGCAGCGGAGCAUGUGGUUUAAUUCGAAGCAACGCGAAGAACCUUACCAGGUCUUGACAUCCAGGUAAACCUGCAGAGACGCAGCGUGCCUUCGGGCAAUCUGAGACAGGUGG
This 246-nucleotide ribosomal RNA is filed under the name uncultured bacterium. Its description in RNAcentral is "partial 16S ribosomal RNA". It matches the Rfam family "Bacterial small subunit ribosomal RNA", at positions 796 to 1041 of the family's 1533-position model. The record is from RNAcentral.